This 465-nucleotide ribosomal RNA is filed under the name Vreelandella stevensii. RNAcentral describes it as "partial 16S ribosomal RNA". It matches the Rfam family "Bacterial small subunit ribosomal RNA", at positions 338 to 795 of the family's 1533-position model. The record is from RNAcentral. Lineage: Bacteria; Pseudomonadati; Pseudomonadota; Gammaproteobacteria; Oceanospirillales; Halomonadaceae.
CCUACGGGAGGCUGCAGUGGGGAAUAUUGGACAAUGGGGGCAACCCUGAUCCAGCCAUGCCGCGUGUGUGAAGAAGGCCCUCGGGUUGUAAAGCACUUUCAGUGAGGAAGAACGCCUGGUGGUUAAUACCCAUCAGGAAAGACAUCACUCACAGAAGAAGCACCGGCUAACUCCGUGCCAGCAGCCGCGGUAAUACGGAGGGUGCGAGCGUUAAUCGGAAUUACUGGGCGUAAAGCGCGCGUAGGUGGCUUGAUAAGCCGGUUGUGAAAGCCCCGGGCUCAACCUGGGAAUGGCAUCCGGAACUGUCAAGCUAGAGUGCAGGAGAGGAAGGUAGAAUUCCCGGUGUAGCGGUGAAAUGCGUAGAGAUCGGGAGGAAUACCAGUGGCGAAGGCGGCCUUCUGGACUGACACUGACACUGAGGUGCGAAAGCGUGGGUAGCAAACAGGAUUAGAUACCCUUGUAGUC